AUACGGAGGGUGCAAGCGUUAUUCGGAAUCACUGGGCGUAAAGGACGCGUAGGCGGGUUGGCAAGUCAGAUGUGAAAUCCUACAGCUUAACUGUAGAACUGUAUUUGAAACUGCUAACCUAGAGUAUGGGAGGGGGAGAUGGAAUUAGUGGUGUAGGGGUAAAAUCCGUAGAUAUCACUAGGAAUACCGAAAGCGAAGGCGAUCUCCUGGAACAUAACUGACGCUAAGGCGUGAAAGCGUGGGGAGCAAACAGGAUUAGAAACCCCUGUAGUCC
Molecule: ribosomal RNA, 274 nt
Filed under: uncultured bacterium
Lineage: Bacteria
Description: partial 16S ribosomal RNA
Rfam family: Bacterial small subunit ribosomal RNA
Source: RNAcentral